AAAUCCGAGUUGAUCGGGCUCGGCCCGAUCCUCCCACCCUUUGUGUACCUACCUCUGUUGCUUUGGCGGGCCGCGGUCCUCCGCGGCCGCCCCCCUCCCCGGGGGGUGGCCAGCGCCCGCCAGAGGACCAUCAAACUCCAGUCAGUAAACGAUGCAGUCUGAAAAACAUUUAAUAAACUAAAACUUUCAACAACGGAUCUCUUGGUUCUGGCAUCGAUGAAGAACGCAGCGAAAUGCGAUAAGUAAUGUGAAUUGCAGAAUUCAGUGAAUCAUCGAAUCUUUGAACGCACAUUGCGCCCUUUGGUAUUCCGAAGGGCAUGCCUGUUCGAGCGUCAUUACAACCCUCAAGCUCUGCUUGGUAUUGGGCACCGUCCUUUGCGGGCGCGCCUCAAAGACCUCGGCGGUGGCGUCUUGCCUCAAGCGUAGUAGAACAUACAUCUCGCUUCGGAGCGCAGGGCGUCGCCCGCCGGACGAACCUUCUGAACUUUUCUCAAGGUUGACCUCGGAUCAGGUAGGGAUACCCGCUGAACUUAAGCAUAUCAUAAGGCGGGAGGAA
This 556-nucleotide ribosomal RNA is filed under the name Botryosphaeria dothidea. RNAcentral describes it as "eukaryotic LSU rRNA". The stretch from base 182 to 335 matches the Rfam family "5.8S ribosomal RNA". Lineage: Eukaryota; Fungi; Ascomycota; Dothideomycetes; Botryosphaeriales; Botryosphaeriaceae. The record is from RNAcentral.